UCUCAGUAUCCAAAGAUCCAGAGCCGGAGACGGCUGUGCUCUGCAGUUUCCCAGUAAAAAAGUACGCAACGCUGUUUUGGCCAAGAAGUAUGAAUACGCUUUCUAAGAGACACUACAGCUUUAAAGGUGAAUUUAAUGAGAUAAGCAUCCCUAAACUAAACGUUGGCAUCCCUUAUGGAAAUUAACUACCUUUUAAUCGCAUUCCAUCAAUAAGAAUACUACAAUUAAGCAAUAAAUUACUAUUUGAAUUUAAACAAUUUAAGUCAUUUGGGACUUCAUAUCUAUUGUUAGGAAAAUGUAAAUAAAAACGUCUUCUGCUUAUUGCCAAGCUUAUCCAAAAAGCGUAUAAGAUAACCUUAAGAAUCGGCUCACAAAAAAGGAAAGUGCAUUACAAUUCGAGAGUUGCGCACUCCGAGCAGUAAAUAAAAUAAACAAGCAAGUGCGGCCAAGAGAUAGCAAAAGUAAGCAAAGAAUUGAUUAAAAUUUAUGCUCCCCACCCAGAUACCCACUUUCACACCAGAAGACAGGCGGCACAUGUGCUCUAUAAAGAUAUAUCUCCUCGACAGCCAUCCAGGCAACCCAACCAUCCUCCUUUAUCGAAAUCUGGAUCUCGCCCCGGCGCCUUGUGGGAUGCAUUGGGCCACGGCGAACAACAUUUUGAUUAAAUUAUUUUAAUGGCAAGUGCAGAAUGUAUGGUAAAUACAUGUACGGAUCUAUCGCCGGCUCGUCUCGCGCCUCUGGCGCAGCAGCCAAUUAAUUCAGUUGCGAACUAUGAAAGCACACACUGGGCGCUCAUAAAUCGUGGCAUGAGUUGGGAUGGAGGCCCACCUCCAGCUCCAGCUCCAGCUUCACAGAAAGCAACGGCGAAGGAAGAGGAGGAGGAAAAGCAGUAUCAGCGGAGAACAUCAUGAACCGAUUCCCCAGAAUGACCUGCAAAUGAAUGAAUAUUUCAUAGACGCGAAUCCGAAUAGAUGCACAGAGGCAAAGGCACUGCCGACGCGGAAUUAGCUAAGCAUGCAGCUGAUGGACGGCUCGGAAUUCGCCACGGAUUCAAAAGAGCCACUCAACUGGCAGAAAGUGUGGGGAAUAUGAUUCUUCAAUCUACACUUUAGUCUUUUAGUCUAAGUUUGGUUUAUUGUAAGACUUAUUAUAAAGACAAGACCUUUUUUGGUUUUUCAUACUGUGAAGUUCAUUCACAGCUCAUUUGCAGUGAUAACUAAAUUCUGAAAUACGUCGGUUCAGUAUCAAAA
Molecule: long non-coding RNA, 1250 nt
Organism: Drosophila santomea
Lineage: Eukaryota; Metazoa; Arthropoda; Insecta; Diptera; Drosophilidae
Exons: 3
Source: RefSeq, a predicted model, not a curated record